AUUACCGCGGCUGCUGGCACGUAGUUAGCCGGUGCUUCUUCUGCAGGUACCGUCACUUGCGCUUCGUCCCUACUGAAAGGGGUUUACAAUCCGAAGACCGUCAUCCCCCACGCGGCGUCGCUGCAUCAGGCUUUCGCCCAUUGUGCAAUAUUCCCCACUGCUGCCUCCCGUAGG
RNAcentral lists this ribosomal RNA (174 nucleotides) under uncultured Dietzia sp. RNAcentral's name for it is "partial 16S ribosomal RNA". The record is from RNAcentral. Lineage: Bacteria; Bacillati; Actinomycetota; Actinomycetes; Mycobacteriales; Dietziaceae.